CUUGCUACUUUAUUCAAUAAAUAUAAAACGAUAUGAAAUAUGUCUGUUUUCAUACCAAGAACGAUUAAAUAAGCUUUCUUUUUCAGAUUGUUUUCAAAUUCUCCUUACAUGUUUCACUUCCGCUUGAAGAAGAAGACGCUGUUAUGGCGUCCUAGCAACAAGGCAAAAAAACAACAAAGUUUUUGCAAUGUCAACUUGUACAUACAUAAUUUCAAGUUUAUUGACUAAAGAAUUGACAAGUCCUUUAGAAAAUCGAUAUAAUGUUAAUUUGUUAGUUAUGUUUAGCUUUUAUUUAUUAUAUUCAUUAUUUAAUUACAUAAUUAUUGCGUCUAAAUAUUAGAGACACCAGUUGCGGUAUACCAACAUUAGAAGGGAUUUGUAAAGAUUGCGAGUGUGGAUUUUAUACAUUUAGUUAAGACUUAACCAGGAGCAGUUGCGAAAAAUGCAACUCUAGGCCCUCUGGCAGGAAUCGAAUAUGUGGUCUUGUCAUUCCGUUCCCUGCUAGCAGAGACCCCAGAGUAUCCUUUUCACGGCGGAGCUUUCCCUUCGGCUUCGCCGUGAAAGCGAUACUCUGCUAGUAGGGUAGCCAUUCCUCUAACUAAUUGAGCUACAGAGGCCAGUGGCCGGGCAGUGACUAAGACCCGGUUUAGACGGCGAACUUUUCAUGCGCCGAAUCUAAUUGUCGUAGAUACGGCAAAAUAUCGGAAACUGAUUUAGACGUCGAACUUAAUUGCACCGUACCAAAUUGCGAGGACACUAUAUUGGAAAUAUUUACAAUGCAAAUAUAUGAUAAUCAUAUUAUGAUGUUAAAAAAUAAUUAUGCAUUAGGUUCGGCGCAUGAAAAGUACGGCGUCUAAAUCAAUGUCGAACCUGUGUC
Paramuricea clavata is the source of this 877-nucleotide non-coding RNA. Lineage: Eukaryota; Metazoa; Cnidaria; Anthozoa; Malacalcyonacea; Plexauridae. The record is from the annotation of a GenBank genome assembly.